Molecule: ribosomal RNA, 1546 nt
Filed under: Klebsiella quasipneumoniae
Lineage: Bacteria; Pseudomonadati; Pseudomonadota; Gammaproteobacteria; Enterobacterales; Enterobacteriaceae
Description: bacterial SSU rRNA
Rfam family: Bacterial small subunit ribosomal RNA
Source: RNAcentral
AAAUUGAAGAGUUUGAUCAUGGCUCAGAUUGAACGCUGGCGGCAGGCCUAACACAUGCAAGUCGAGCGGUAGCACAGAGAGCUUGCUCUCGGGUGACGAGCGGCGGACGGGUGAGUAAUGUCUGGGAAACUGCCUGAUGGAGGGGGAUAACUACUGGAAACGGUAGCUAAUACCGCAUAAUGUCGCAAGACCAAAGUGGGGGACCUUCGGGCCUCAUGCCAUCAGAUGUGCCCAGAUGGGAUUAGCUAGUAGGUGGGGUAACGGCUCACCUAGGCGACGAUCCCUAGCUGGUCUGAGAGGAUGACCAGCCACACUGGAACUGAGACACGGUCCAGACUCCUACGGGAGGCAGCAGUGGGGAAUAUUGCACAAUGGGCGCAAGCCUGAUGCAGCCAUGCCGCGUGUGUGAAGAAGGCCUUCGGGUUGUAAAGCACUUUCAGCGGGGAGGAAGGCGAUAAGGUUAAUAACCUUGUCGAUUGACGUUACCCGCAGAAGAAGCACCGGCUAACUCCGUGCCAGCAGCCGCGGUAAUACGGAGGGUGCAAGCGUUAAUCGGAAUUACUGGGCGUAAAGCGCACGCAGGCGGUCUGUCAAGUCGGAUGUGAAAUCCCCGGGCUCAACCUGGGAACUGCAUUCGAAACUGGCAGGCUAGAGUCUUGUAGAGGGGGGUAGAAUUCCAGGUGUAGCGGUGAAAUGCGUAGAGAUCUGGAGGAAUACCGGUGGCGAAGGCGGCCCCCUGGACAAAGACUGACGCUCAGGUGCGAAAGCGUGGGGAGCAAACAGGAUUAGAUACCGGUAGUCCACGCCGUAAACGAUGUCGAUUUGGAGGUUGUGCCCUUGAGGCGUGGCUUCCGGAGCUAACGCGUUAAAUCGACCGCCCGGGAGUACGGCCGCAAGGUUAAAACUCAAAUGAAUUGACGGGGGCCCGCACAAGCGGUGGAGCAUGUGGUUUAAUUCGAUGCAACGCGAAGAACCUUACCUGGUCUUGACAUCCACAGAACUUAGCAGAGAUGCUUUGGUGCCUUCGGGAACUGUGAGACAGGUGCUGCAUGGCUGUCGUCAGCUCGUGUUGUGAAAUGUUGGGUUAAGUCCCGCAACGAGCGCAACCCUUAUCCUUUGUUGCCAGCGGUUAGGCCGGGAACUCAAAGGAGACUGCCAGUGAUAAACUGGAGGAAGGUGGGGAUGACGUCAAGUCAUCAUGGCCCUUACGACCAGGGCUACACACGUGCUACAAUGGCAUAUACAAAGAGAAGCGACCUCGCGAGAGCAAGCGGACCUCAUAAAGUAUGUCGUAGUCCGGAUUGAGUCUGCAACUCGACUCCAUGAAGUCGGAAUCGCUAGUAAUCGUAGAUCAGAAUGCUACGGUGAAUACGUUCCCGGGCCUUGUACACACCGCCCGUCACACCAUGGGAGUGGGUUGCAAAAGAAGUAGGUAGCUUAACCUUCGGGAGGGCGCUUACCACUUUGUGAUUCAUGACUGGGGUGAAGUCGUAACAAGGUAACCGUAGGGGAACCUGCGGUUGGAUCACCUCCUUACCUUAAAGAA